AUACAGCAGAUCACUCAAGGCUUGCUGAGACAUGACUACGCAUUCAUACCAGUUGAGAAAAUAUCAUUAUCCUACGUUGAAAAUUAACUAGAAGAUACUGAUAAUUAUAUAGGUUUUAUGCAAUAUGGCAGUACAUAGAUCACUCGAUGCAUGCUGAGACAUGAAUUCACAUUUCUACCACUUCGGAAAGUAUCAAUAUCCUACAUGUAAAAUGGACUAGAAGAUACUGAAAAUAUUAAUGGUUUUAUACAAUAUGGCAAUACAGCAGAUCACUCAAGGCUUGCUGAGACAUGACUACGCAUUCAUACCAGUUGAGAAAAUAUCAUUAUCCUACGUUGAAAAUUAACUAGAAGAUACUGAUAAUUAUAUAGGUUUUAUGCAAUGUACGUGAAAUGGCUAUUGAAUGUAAUUGAUAGUAAAUUAAUAGUAGUGUAACAAUUGAAAUUUGUUAAAAAUCUGAAUAAAGGAUUGGGAAACACA
Molecule: long non-coding RNA, 480 nt
Organism: Rhopalosiphum padi (bird cherry-oat aphid)
Lineage: Eukaryota; Metazoa; Arthropoda; Insecta; Hemiptera; Aphididae
Exons: 3
Source: RefSeq, a predicted model, not a curated record